RNAcentral lists this long non-coding RNA (1674 nucleotides) under Mus musculus (house mouse). Its description in RNAcentral is "long non-coding RNA chr1:151210127-151211801". The record is from RNAcentral. Lineage: Eukaryota; Metazoa; Chordata; Mammalia; Rodentia; Muridae.
ACCAUUUGCCAGUGAACGCCACCCAAAGACGGAGGCAGAGGCAUGGCCCUGGGAGCAGAAUUGAGUGAAACGCUAGUCGAGAAGCCUGAACAUAUGAAUUUAGAGAUGUCCAUCCUGGCUCCUUCCAAGAGAAAGCAGCUCCUAGACAAGAAGGCAGAAGACAAACAGCCCCCUGAGAGUCGGGGUAACAAUGGCAGGAGUUCCAAGUCCUCUCCCAUGGGCAAAGACAACACCUGGCCAAGUCCGGAGGCUAAGGUCCCCAGUCAGAAGCGAUCUGGGCAAAGCUGGGCUGUCUCUUCCUGCGGACCCCACAAGAGAAGCAGCAAGCUGGAGGACAAGAGGAGGAACAGACCAUCUCGCUUCAGAGAGAGAGGAAGGGACAAGCCGGGGUCCACCCACAAAAGAGAUUCCUCGCACACAAAACUGCAUGUAAAGGACCGAAGGUCCCAGCCAAGAUCUCCUGUGAGGACUCUGAAGCGCAGUCGCUCUGGAGACAGGCAAGGUGUCCCGCACAACUCUGCCAAGAGAUGCAGACAGACUUCUCCUCCAGAAGCCAGCUCAUUACCAACAUUCUCGCUGCUCAUGUCCAGAGUCUUCACCAACGUGGAUGCCUUGCAGGUGAGCCUGGACGACCUGCAAGCCCCCGGAGGUGCCUUCCUGCGUGUGCCCUCAAGCAGCACGGAGCCCAGUGUCUCGCAGCGGGCCUGGCUCACUUGGCAACUGUCCCAUGCAGGAGCCGCACUGCACUGGGCCCUUCACACAGUCAAUUCCAUCUUGACUGCGCAGGCCAGCCUGCCCAGAUACACCUGGCCCCAAGGCUAUUCCUUCACUGCUGACCCUAGACCCGUGCCCACCUCCAAGAUCCAGGCCAGCCAACUGGCUCAGAGACCAGGCGACUUGGCAUCUCCCAACCCUUCAGUGGAUACAAGAAGCAUCCUGGGCUGAGCACAGCAGGCCAGAGAGACCAGAAGGCAGGCUUUGAGUCCAGUGAGCACCAAACUAUCUACAGACUCCGGAGGCACUCAACUUCAGAGUCCAGUGUCUCUCCAGUCAAGGACACGGGGAGUGACUGAAGAAAACCUGGGAAGCCUCAUUGGGGAACUUGGACUGUUGGAACCUCUCAUAGAUGUGGACCCUUCUACCUUGCCCUUUAGGAGAAGUGUAUCAUUGGAGAAACGACCGACUCUUAGAAUUCAAUCAGCCAGAGAAGCUUGGGUAUCAUACAGACACCCUCCUCCCCUUUUGGACAGGGUCCCUUAUGCCAACUGAGGGUUAAAUUGCCCAUGUAUGGCACAGGCCACCACAACACAUUGACUUGGAGUUCCUGGGGUCAAGUUCCCGCCCUUGGGCAUGCUAGCAGUGCAGCUCCCCAGCCACACAGCCACGGGGAAGCCUGAGCUCUGUUCCCUGAGUUUGAACUGCAUUCUUUCUUUCUGCAGAGCACUCAAGCACUGCCUAGAACCCAGACUUUACCUCAGGUUAGCAAGCUGGACUAGGAACUCUCUGAACACAGAUCACCGUUCAGUAGACUUACUCUCUGACAGAGUCAAUCCAUUUAGUACUCUAAAUCUAUGACCUGAUUUUUAUCCACUUUUAAUUUCCGUCUUGGUCACAUCCUGACUUGUAAUGCUUCAUCGUGGUUUUCACUAUUUUAAUAAAGAUUUAUUUUUUUCU